UACGUAGGGGGCAAGCGUUGUCCGGAUUCAUUGGGCGUAAAGAGCGCGUAGGCGGCCAGGUAGGUCGGUUGUGAAAACUGGAGGCUCAACCUUCAGAGGUCGACCGAAACCAUCUGGCUAGAGUCCGGGAGAGGAGAGUGGAAUUCCUGGUGUAGCGGUGAAAUGCGCAGAUAUCAGGAAGAACACCCGUGGCGAAAGCGGCUCUCUGGAACGAUACUGACGCUGAGGCGCGAAAGCGUGGGGAGCGAACAGG
Molecule: ribosomal RNA, 253 nt
Filed under: uncultured bacterium
Lineage: Bacteria
Description: partial 16S ribosomal RNA
Rfam family: Bacterial small subunit ribosomal RNA
Source: RNAcentral